UCGAGGAUCUUUAGCAAUGCCCGAAAGGGUGACUAUGCGACGCCGCGUGCAGGAUGAAGGCCUUCGGGUUGUAAACUGCUGUCAGGGGGGAAGAAGAUUCACGCGUUAAUAGCGUGUGAAUUUGACAUCACUCCCAAAGGAAGCCACGGCUAACUCUGUGCCAGCAGCCGCGGUAAGACAGAGGUGGCAAGCGUUGUUCGGAUUUAUUGGGUGUAAAGGGCAGGUAGGUGGUUAUGUAAGUCUGUUGUGAAAUCCCACAGCUCAACUGUGGAACUGCAUCGGAAACUACAUAGCUUGAGUAUCAGAGAGGUGAGAGGAAUUCUCGGUGUAAGGGUGAAAUCUGUAGAUAUCGAGAGGAACACCAGAGGCGAAGGCGUCUCACUGGCUGAUUACUGACACUGAACUGCGAAAGCAAGGGGAGCAAACA
Molecule: ribosomal RNA, 427 nt
Filed under: uncultured prokaryote
Description: bacterial SSU rRNA
Rfam family: Bacterial small subunit ribosomal RNA
Source: RNAcentral